GAAACGUGAGGGGUCCAGUGAGUCAUGGCAGACUUUACCAGCACAGAUGUUGAUGCCCACUGAUGCUAACCCCACUGCCAUCAGCAGAUUUGGCACAAUGUGGAUGUCCAUAUUGUGCAUCACCUGUGUAGAGUGAGAAGGACCAACUCCACCAAUGAGAAUCCAGGCCAGUGUCCUCUAAGCAAACCUGCCCUUGGUCAACAGGUCCAGAAAGAGUGCCAGAGGGAGGGGUUUGAUGCAAGGUGUGCCAUGUAAUAGACUGAGAAACCGUGAAACUGAAAUAAACAGAAGAAAACAGGCAUGACAGAAUGUGACACACAUUUUAACCUUGUGAGCAUCAAUAAAUGGCAGGGUCAGAAAUAAAAUGUCAUCAGAAGUGACAAUAAUGACCCAGAUAUUAAAAACAUAGUAGCAAAAUUUGCGAACUUGUAACAUUUGGUAUAUUUCCAAAUUUUAUGAUUUGAUAUAGGCUAUUUAACAUAUUUCAUAUUCUAUUGUAUUGUAUUGUAGGCCAAUCUUGGGCUGAGUUACUGCCUUUGCAGACAAUGUAGUGGUGUGUCAAUGCUGGCUAUCUGCAUUUGCUGGCUCAGAGUUCUCUGGCCCCCAUCACUGCUUCUAAACUAUCUUUCCCUUCACCAUCAUGCACUGGAGGAGGAAUCUGAUUCAAAAACUCAUUCAGCAUCCUCUGAGCUGUGAAAUGGCUGAAAUCAGUGAAGUCUUUCCCCACCAUGACGGUUCC
Molecule: long non-coding RNA, 739 nt
Organism: Ctenopharyngodon idella (grass carp)
Lineage: Eukaryota; Metazoa; Chordata; Actinopteri; Cypriniformes; Xenocyprididae
Exons: 3
Source: RefSeq, a predicted model, not a curated record